CGCGUAGGCGGUUAUAUUAGUCAAGCGUGAAAGCCCCGGGCUUAACCUGGGAACUGCGCCUGAAACGGUAUGACUAGAGGACGAGAGAGGAAAGCGGAAUUCCUAGUGUAGAGGUGAAAUUCGUAGAUAUUAGGAGGAACAUCAGAGGCGAAGGCGGCUUUCUGGCUCGUUACUGACGCUGAGGCGCGAAAGCGUGGGGAGCAAACAGGAUUAGAUACCCUGGUAGUCCACGCUGUAAACUAUGAGUGCUAGACGUUGGUUCUUUAUGGAUCAGUGUCGCAGCAAACGCAUUAAGCACUCCGCCUGAGUAGUACGGUCGCAAGAUUAAA
RNAcentral lists this ribosomal RNA (329 nucleotides) under uncultured bacterium. RNAcentral describes it as "bacterial SSU rRNA". It matches the Rfam family "Bacterial small subunit ribosomal RNA", at positions 568 to 898 of the family's 1533-position model. The record is from RNAcentral.